This 374-nucleotide ribosomal RNA is filed under the name uncultured bacterium. Its description in RNAcentral is "partial 16S ribosomal RNA". It matches the Rfam family "Bacterial small subunit ribosomal RNA", at positions 338 to 729 of the family's 1533-position model. The record is from RNAcentral.
CCUACGGGAGGCAACAGUGGGGAAUAUUGCACAAUGGGGGAAACCCUGAUGCAGCGACGCCGCGUGCGUGAAGACGUCUUUCGGUAUGUAAAGCUGUAUUAGCAGGGAGGAAAAUGACGAUACCUGAAUAUGAAGCACCGGCUAACUCCGUGCCAGAAGCCGCGGUAAUGCGGAGGGGGCAAGGGUUAUCCGGAUUUACUGGGUGUAAAGGGGGCGUAGACGGUUGUGGAAGUCAGAGGUGAAAGCCCGGGGCUCAACUUCGGGACUGCGUCUGAAACUGUGCGACUGGAGAGUAGGAGCGGUAGGCGGAAUGUAUGGUGUAGCGGUGAAAUGCGUAGAGAUCAUAAAGAACACCAGUGGCGAAGGCAGCUUAC